RNAcentral lists this ribosomal RNA (166 nucleotides) under Staphylococcus hominis. RNAcentral describes it as "partial 23S ribosomal RNA". It matches the Rfam family "Bacterial large subunit ribosomal RNA", at positions 2757 to 2925 of the family's 2925-position model. The record is from RNAcentral. Lineage: Bacteria; Bacillati; Bacillota; Bacilli; Caryophanales; Staphylococcaceae.
GGACGGGAUAAGUGCUGAAAGCAUCUAAGCAUGAAGCCCCCCUCAAGAUGAGAUUUCCCAACUUCGGUUAUAAGAUCCCUCAGAGAUGAUGAGGUUAAUAGGUUCGAGGUGGAAGCGUGGUGACACGUGGAGCUGACGAAUACUAAUCGAUCGAAGACUUAAUCAA